UACGGGGGGUGCGAGCGUUGUCCGGAAUCACUGGGCGUAAAGGGCGCGUAGGUGGUCUGGUAAGGCUGUGGUGAAAGCCCGGGGCUCAACCCCGGGUCGGCCAUGGCGACUGCGAGACUUGAGGACUGUAGAGGCAGGUAGAAUAUCGGGUGUAGCGGUGGAAUGCGUAGAGAUCCGAUAGAAGACCGGUGGCGAAGGCGGCCUGCUGGGCAGUUACUGACACUGAGGCGCGACAGCGUGGGGAGCAAACAGG
RNAcentral lists this ribosomal RNA (253 nucleotides) under uncultured Gemmatimonas sp. RNAcentral's name for it is "partial 16S ribosomal RNA". It matches the Rfam family "Bacterial small subunit ribosomal RNA", at positions 524 to 776 of the family's 1533-position model. Lineage: Bacteria; Pseudomonadati; Gemmatimonadota; Gemmatimonadia; Gemmatimonadales; Gemmatimonadaceae. The record is from RNAcentral.